Long non-coding RNA from Felis catus (domestic cat), 411 nucleotides. RefSeq lists it as uncharacterized. The transcript has 3 exons. The record is from RefSeq and is a predicted model, not a curated record. NCBI's taxonomy places the organism in Eukaryota, Metazoa, Chordata, Mammalia, Carnivora, Felidae.
GGGUGAGUGAGCAGGCACCCUGACCCUCCGUCCGGGGCGGCCCUCUCCUACCAAAGGGUCCGAACGAGAACUAUGUGGGCUGCCUGUAGGCAACACUAUAGGAACUGGCUCUCACAGCCACAGUGACCCUCGGGGCUAUGCGGCCGCUCGAGGAUUUAAACCCGCACCCCCUCUGGCUCCUGCACUGCAUCCGUCUCCAAAGCAAGGGCUCGGUCCUGUCCAUCUCUGCCCUCCAGUGUUCUGCCCGAGACCCAGCAAACAGGAGGCACUGACACGUGACGCCGUGUGGAUGAACCUGGAAAGCAUCCUGGGAAGUGAGAAGCCAGAUCCCAAAGGCCGCGCCUUGUAGGAUUCCUUUUGCGUGAAAUGUCGGGACUGGGCAAGUCCAGAGACAGAAAGCAGGCUGGUGGC